GCCCGGCUGGCUCAGUUGGAAGAGCAUGUGACUCUUGAUCUUGGGGUUGUGAGCUCGAGCCCCAUGCUGGGUA
Molecule: non-coding RNA, 73 nt
Organism: Ailuropoda melanoleuca (giant panda)
Lineage: Eukaryota; Metazoa; Chordata; Mammalia; Carnivora; Ursidae
Source: Rfam